Physeter macrocephalus (sperm whale) is the source of this 658-nucleotide long non-coding RNA. RefSeq lists it as uncharacterized. NCBI's taxonomy places the organism in Eukaryota, Metazoa, Chordata, Mammalia, Artiodactyla, Physeteridae. The record is from RefSeq and is a predicted model, not a curated record. The transcript is spliced from 4 exons.
CGGCGCGGCCUCGGCCCAGCUGUCCGGCUCUCCCUCCCGUCCCCACGACCGGACCGGCGAGGCUCGGGAAUGGAUAUUCUUUAAUCUCAGUUUGUGGUAUAUGGAGGAUUGUCUGGAGGUUGGACACCAGAGGAUGAGAAAACAAACAAACAUGGGAUUUGUCUCCCCAGCCCCCAAGCAUCAAGAAACCCACUUUCAGCUCCUAGAGUCAGAACCAGAGGAAUAUAUCAAAGGGGAGAAAAAGGUGUCCUCUCUGUUGCCUGUGGAUGGGCAGAAAGUCACUUCUUGCCUCCUUACGGCUUGGCUCCCUCAGUGCACCUGUGUACCCUGACACUUUCCAGAGUGACCCAAAUCACUCACAGCUUCAAGAAUGUCUUCUGUCACACCCCAACUAUCAACCUACUGUUCUAUGAAGAAAACCAAAGGAUUGCUAAAGUUUUCAGUGUGGCAACUGACAUUUAUUGAUCUAAAAUUCUAUGGCUUUGAAUAAACCACAAAAGUACAUUUAAAGUAAGAGUGGGCUUCCCUGGUGGCGCAGUGGUUGAGAGUCCGCCUGCCGAUGCAGGGGAGAUGGGUUCGUGCCCCGGUUCGGGAAGAUCCCACAUGCCGCGGAGCCUGCGCGUCCGGAGCCUGUGCUCUGCAACGGGAGAGGCCACAA